GAGAUACCAGAUGGCUCUAGAUGU
RNAcentral lists this non-coding RNA (24 nucleotides) under Arabidopsis thaliana (thale cress). Lineage: Eukaryota; Viridiplantae; Streptophyta; Magnoliopsida; Brassicales; Brassicaceae. The record is from RNAcentral.